GUCCUUGUAGCGCAAUGGAUUGCGUGUUGGACUUCUAAUCCAAAGGUCGUGGGUUCCAAUCUCACCAGGAAUG
Molecule: non-coding RNA, 73 nt
Organism: Trichonephila clavata
Lineage: Eukaryota; Metazoa; Arthropoda; Arachnida; Araneae; Nephilidae
Source: the annotation of a GenBank genome assembly